RNAcentral lists this ribosomal RNA (284 nucleotides) under uncultured Bacteroides sp. Its description in RNAcentral is "partial 16S ribosomal RNA". It matches the Rfam family "Bacterial small subunit ribosomal RNA", at positions 62 to 339 of the family's 1533-position model. Lineage: Bacteria; Pseudomonadati; Bacteroidota; Bacteroidia; Bacteroidales; Bacteroidaceae. The record is from RNAcentral.
UCGAGGGGCAGCAUGAACUUAGCUUGCUGAGUUUGAUGGCGACCGGCGCACGGGUGAGUAACACGUAUCCAACCUGCCGAUGACUCGGGGAUAGCCUUUCGAAAGAAAGAUUAAUACCCGAUGGCAUAGUCUUCCCGCAUGGGAUGAUUAUUAAAGAAUUUCGGUUGUCGAUGGGGAUGCGUUCCAUUAGGUUGUUGGCGGGGUAACGGCCCACCAAGCCUUCGAUGGAUAGGGGUUCUGAGAGGAAGGUCCCCACAUUGGAACUGAGACACGGUCCAAACUCC